AAAGGCGCUUUCGGGUGUCGCUGAUGGAUGGACCCGCGGUGCAUUAGCUAGUUGGUGAGGUAACGGCUCACCAAGGCGACGAUGCAUAGCCGACCUGAGAGGGUGAUCGGCCACAUUGGGACUGAGACACGGCCCAAACUCCUACGGGAGGCAGCAGUAGGGAAUCUUCGGCAAUGGACGAAAGUCUGACCGAGCAACGCCGCGUGAGUGAAGAAGGUUUUCGGAUCGUAAAACUCUGUUGUUAGAGAAGAACAAGGAUGAGAGUAACUGUUCAUCCCUUGACGGUAUCUAACCAGAAAGCCACGGCUAACUACGUGCCAGCAGCCGCGGUAAUACGUAGGUGGCAAGCGUUGUCCGGAUUUAUUGGGCGUAAAGCGAGCGCAGGCGGUUUCUUAAGUCUGAUGUGAAAGCCCCCGGCUCAACCGGGGAGGGUCAUUGGAAACUGGGAGACUUGAGUGCAGAAGAGGAGAGUGGAAUUCCAUGUGUAGCGGUGAAAUGCGUAGAUAUAUGGAGGAACACCAGUGGCGAAGGCGGCUCUCUGGUCUGUAACUGACGCUGAGGCUCGAAAGCGUGGGGAGCAAACAGGAUUAGAUACCCUGGUAGUCCACGCCGUAAACGAUGAGUGCUAAGUGUUGGAGGGUUUCCGCCCUUCA
RNAcentral lists this ribosomal RNA (653 nucleotides) under uncultured bacterium. RNAcentral describes it as "bacterial SSU rRNA". It matches the Rfam family "Bacterial small subunit ribosomal RNA", at positions 202 to 842 of the family's 1533-position model. The record is from RNAcentral.